GACCCAGUUUAGCACAAAUCAGCACCCUGCAGAACCUGAACCUGGGGAAAAAUAUCGAUUAAGGAAUUUGUCAGAACAAGAGCAGAGAUACAAACACUUUGAAAUUCUUCGAAUCUGCAAAUUUUGUUUCCAACACUCAACCAAGGUUUGACUGCAGGCAGAUUGACAACAAAGAAGAAUCAAGACUGACAACCAAGAUGUGCUUGUCACUGAUAAUAACUGUCCUGAUUGUUGUGGUUCUGAUUCUCUUGUUACUCUGGAAAAACAUUAUCACUCUGAACGACCUACUCAAAACAGGAAAGAGAGUUUCAGAGGUAGUCAUCUCAGCUUUAGAUGAUCCUAAACUAUCAGGAUCAUUAACACUGACAGUCACUGCGAUUUUCAUUUUGUCAAGCCCUCUAACAACGACUUUGUUGGCUGUUGUUACUGCAACACUUUGGUUGCACUGGUUCAACAUCCUUCCACUAAGAGAUUUAAUUGAAAUAGCCUCAGACUAUUACCAGUCAGUGACCACAGGACCAAAUCAGACCUGCACUGAUUCAAAGCCAGGAGCUAAACGAUUGGCUGAUGCUGUUAAAGAACAAAGCACUCUUCUGCCAUCACAAAAUGGUUGUUUCCCACUUUACAAAAUUCCAGUGGUAACAAAACAAUUUGACAUUAAAGGCUGCAAAAGUUUCACAUUUGGAGAUAAAUCCACAAACUGUAACCGAAACAUCAUGGUCCUUGGAGCCUCAGGUGCUGGGAAGUCCACUGUCAUCAAUGCGAUGGUAAAUUACGUUCUAGGUGUUAAAUGGGAAGACUCGUUUCGGUUUAAGUUAGUGGAUGAAGGUCAGUCAAAGUCACAAGGUCAGACUUCAGAAAUCACACUGUACAAACUCUACCACCAGGAGGGUUUCAGAGUGAAUUACUCUCUGACUAUUGUUGACACUCCAGGCUUUGGAGGCACAGGAGGUAUAGACAGAGACAAGGAGAUCACAGAGCAGCUGCGUGACCUCUUUACUAAUCAGGAAGGUGUCGGUGAAAUUGAUGCCGUGUGUUUUGUUGUUCAGGCUGC
This is a long non-coding RNA of Fundulus heteroclitus (mummichog), 1054 nucleotides long. RefSeq lists it as uncharacterized. NCBI's taxonomy places the organism in Eukaryota, Metazoa, Chordata, Actinopteri, Cyprinodontiformes, Fundulidae. The transcript has 3 exons. The record is from RefSeq and is a predicted model, not a curated record.